UCUUAUCAAGAGAGGCAGAGGGACUGGCCCUAUGAUGCCCGGCAACCCGAUUAUUUUCAAAGGUGCCAAUUCCAGCGGGUUAUAUAAUUUGCCUGAAAGAUGAGA
This 105-nucleotide non-coding RNA is filed under the name uncultured Clostridium sp. RNAcentral describes it as "SAM riboswitch (S box leader)". It matches the Rfam family "SAM riboswitch aptamer (S box leader)". From Rfam's summary of the family: The SAM riboswitch is found upstream of a number of genes which code for proteins involved in methionine or cysteine biosynthesis in Gram-positive bacteria. The SAM riboswitch acts at the level of transcription termination control. The record is from RNAcentral. Lineage: Bacteria; Bacillati; Bacillota; Clostridia; Eubacteriales; Clostridiaceae.